GCGGCGGGCGGAGCGGGCCUGCUCCGCUCCGCUCCGCUCCUCCUCGCCCUGCCCGGCCCGGGGUCGCCCCGCCGCGGUCCGUGAUGAGUAGCCACUGCGCAAGCCGAGUUCCGCGGGGACCGAUGAGAACAAUAUUGAAACUGACCACAUGUGAUUGAAACUGCAUUAAGCUUCAAGAUCAAAGAACAAGGUCAAGAAUAAAGACUUCAAGGACAGCCAGCAAGAACUUCAAUGGGUCGGUGGUCGCAAAAGCAGCCCUUCGACUCAAAUGGAUCCUUCAUUGCGCAUGAUCAGAUGUAGGAAGUACUAUGAUAAUCAGUUACAAUCAUUUUUAUGUAUAGGUAUACUAAUCUGAUUAAUAUGCAAUUAGUUAUUCUAUAUAACCUGUUUGUGCUAAAGCUGUGGUAUGCACGCUAGGUGGAACUAUCCCCCGCGCAUCCAGCGCUGCAAUAAAGAACACCUGCUUUCUAAAACUCCAAAACGAGUCUUGGAGAGUUUCUUCGACCAGCUUUUCAGUAUCAUUUCCAAUGGUUUCAUGAGUCUAGAGAUCAGUGAACAUCCAGCAAUAUGCAACUUU
This is a long non-coding RNA of Harpia harpyja (harpy eagle), 577 nucleotides long. RefSeq lists it as uncharacterized. The transcript is spliced from 2 exons. NCBI's taxonomy places the organism in Eukaryota, Metazoa, Chordata, Aves, Accipitriformes, Accipitridae. The record is from RefSeq and is a predicted model, not a curated record.